This 424-nucleotide ribosomal RNA is filed under the name Sesamia sp. SEKEM0042. RNAcentral's name for it is "partial 16S large subunit ribosomal RNA". The record is from RNAcentral. Lineage: Eukaryota; Metazoa; Arthropoda; Insecta; Lepidoptera; Noctuidae.
GGGCUGCAGUAUAUUGACUGUACAAAGGUAGCAUAAUCAUUAGUCAUUUAAUUGGUGACUUGUAUGAAGGAUUGGAUGAGAUAUAAUCUGUCUCUUAAUUAUAAAGUAGAAUUUAAUUUUUUAAUUAAAAAGUUAAAAUAUAUUAAAAAGACGAGAAGACCCUAUAGAGUUUUAUAGAUUAAGAUAAUUAAGAUUAUUUAUAAAAUAAAAAUUGAAAUUAUUUUAUUUAUUGUGUUGGGGUGACAGAAAAAUAUAAAAAACUUUUUAUAUAGAAAAACAUUGAUAAAUGAUUAAAUGAUCCAAUAUUAUUGAUUAUAAGAAAAAAUUACCUUAGGGAUAACAGCGUAAUUUUUUUUUUUAGUUCACAUAAAAAAAAGAGUUUGCGACCUCGAUGUCGGAUUAAGAUAAAAUUUAAAUGUAGAAG